Molecule: small RNA, 509 nt
Filed under: Oryza sativa Japonica Group (Japanese rice)
Lineage: Eukaryota; Viridiplantae; Streptophyta; Magnoliopsida; Poales; Poaceae
Description: sRNA Os04g0492450
Source: RNAcentral
GGAACUGACCUUUGUGAUAAGGGCAUAGAGCUUCUUCAAAGAGUUCACCGCAUAGGGGACCUCAGAAAUCAAAAUUACAUCAUAGCCUCCAUCAGCUUGGUCUGUCUCACUGGCCCUCUCCCAUGCACGGCUACCAGAAAGUUUCCUUGAUCGCCUGGGGCAAUUGUCGACACCAACUAUGCUGCUCCCAUCAUGGCUACUGCAGCCAUCCAUAAAGUCGUCCUCUGAGAAGCUAAGGUUUGUUGGUGCUGCAGGUGGGUGUACAACUGAGAGAAUAGUAGGGAGCUCCUCCCAGUCCCCAGCAUAGAAAUGUACAUUCGGGGCUAACAGUUGUCGUGAUGGUGUAACAGGGCUCUCUGAUGGUCUGUUCUGCCUGUCCCGAGCCUGCUCAAGGUUUGCAAGCACAUUGGGUAUUGCUCUGCAUCUUAUUGUUUCUGCAUUUGUGUCCUGAAAAUGAACUGUGGAUGCACCCUGAGGAAGCAUCGAAGCAUUCAGUCAAUCAGUAUUCU